GGGCUUGUAGCUCAGGUGGUUAGAGCGCACGCCUGAUAAGCGUGAGGUCGGAGGUUCAAGUCCUCCCAAGCCCA
This is a non-coding RNA of Acetobacterium wieringae, 74 nucleotides long. NCBI's taxonomy places the organism in Bacteria, Bacillati, Bacillota, Clostridia, Eubacteriales, Eubacteriaceae. The record is from Rfam.